RNAcentral lists this long non-coding RNA (525 nucleotides) under Gopherus agassizii (Agassiz's desert tortoise). RNAcentral describes it as "lncRNA (ENSGAGG00000002727.1)". The record is from RNAcentral. Lineage: Eukaryota; Metazoa; Chordata; Testudines; Testudinidae.
GGCUUGGCUUCCUCCGGAGUCUGAAAUUACUGCCGGAGGCGGCCUUGUUGUGUCUUAGCCGAGAAGUACCUCGAGAGCUACCUGAACUCCCUGCUGGCAAUGUCCUUCUACUGCAACUACCACGCCAUGGUGGAGUUCCUGGAUGUCAGCCAGCUCUCCUUCAUCCCCGACCUGGGACCCAAGGGCCUGGAGGGCAUGAUCCUGAAACGCUCCGGCGGGCACCGAAUCCAGGGGCUCAACUGCUGUGGGCACCACCAGAUCUGCUACCGCUGGUCGAAGAGGUGAGCUGGGGGGGCCAGGGCGGGGCCGGGGUCUGUGUGGCCCCCUCGCCCCUCACUGGCCCCGUCUCCCCCCAGGUGGCUGGUGGUGAAGGAUUCCUUCCUGCUGUACCUCAAGCCGGAGUCGGGGGUCGUCUCCUUCGUGCUGCUGUUCGACCCGGGAUUCAGCGUCAUGAUGGGGAAGAAAUCCACCGACAGCAAGUACGGGGUCCGCAUCGAGAACAGUGCCAGGUCCGGACGCCAGGGU